This 492-nucleotide ribosomal RNA is filed under the name uncultured bacterium. RNAcentral's name for it is "partial 16S ribosomal RNA". It matches the Rfam family "Bacterial small subunit ribosomal RNA", at positions 30 to 507 of the family's 1533-position model. The record is from RNAcentral.
AUUGAACGCUGGCGGCAUGCUUUACACAUGCAAGUCGAACGGUAACAGGCCUUCGGGUGCUGACGAGUGGCGAAUGGGUGAGUAAUGCAUCGGAACGUACCCAGAGGUGGGGGAUAACGCAGCGAAAGCUGUGCUAAUACCGCAUGUGAUCUGAGGAUGAAAGCGGGGGACCGAGCAGCAAUGUUUGGCCUCGCGCCUUUGGAGCGGCCGAUGUCGGAUUAGCUAGUUGGUGGGGUAAAGGCCUACCAAGGCGACGAUCCGUAGCUGGUCUGAGAGGACGACCAGCCACACUGGGACUGAGACACGGCCCAGACUCCUACGGGAGGCAGCAAUGGGGAAUUUUGGACAAUGGGCGCAAGCCUGAUCCAGCAAUGCCGCGUGCGGGAAGAAGGCCUUCGGGUUGUAAACCGCUUUUGGCAGGAACGAAACGGUGUCCGCUAAUACCGGGCGCUAAUGACGGUACCUGCAGAAUAAGCACCGGCUAACUACGUG